GACGAACGCUGGCGGCGUGCUUAACACAUGCAAGUCGAACGAUGAAGAAGAGAAACGCGAACUUCGGUUCAAAUUUCACUUCGGAUUAGUGGCAGACGGGUGAGUAACGCGUGAGCAACCUACCUCUUACAAAGGGAUAGCCUCGGGAAACCGUGAUUAAUACCAUAUGACACAUUCAUAAGGCAUCUUAAGAAUGUUAAAGCUACGGCGGUAAGAGAUGGGCUCGCGUCCCAUUAGCUAGUUGGUGAGGUAACGGCCCACCAAGGCGACGAUGGGUAACCGGCCUGAGAGGGUGAACGGUCACAUUGGAACUGAGACACGGUCCAAACUCCUACGGGAGGCAGCAGUGGGGAAUAUUGCACAAUGGAGGGAACUCUGAUGCAGCGACGCCGCGUGAGCGAUGAAGGAAUUCGUUUCGUAAAGCUCUGUUCUAUGGGAAGAAAAGGACUGUACCAUAGGAGAAAGCCCCGGCUAAAUACGUG
Molecule: ribosomal RNA, 482 nt
Filed under: uncultured bacterium
Lineage: Bacteria
Description: partial 16S ribosomal RNA
Rfam family: Bacterial small subunit ribosomal RNA
Source: RNAcentral